CAUUUAUAUCUGGAGCUGACUAUUACAAAUGGAUAUUAAAAAUAGGUCAGCAUUUCCCAGUGUGCAUCCCAAGAAACAAAAUUCCCACUACCUAGUAAUGAAUGUGGGGAAAGAGUACAUGGCUGAAAUCAAAAAGUACUGGAAAAUAGGACAGAGAUGUUCUCAGUGGCCCUGAGGCAGGAGAUAAGGGCACAG
This 195-nucleotide long non-coding RNA is filed under the name Fukomys damarensis (Damara mole-rat). RNAcentral describes it as "lncRNA (ENSFDAG00000031167.1)". Lineage: Eukaryota; Metazoa; Chordata; Mammalia; Rodentia; Bathyergidae. The record is from RNAcentral.